Molecule: long non-coding RNA, 1244 nt
Filed under: Nicotiana tabacum (common tobacco)
Lineage: Eukaryota; Viridiplantae; Streptophyta; Magnoliopsida; Solanales; Solanaceae
Description: long non-coding RNA (NTAB_LNC013710)
Source: RNAcentral
GCCACCCCUGAUUUGUAUUUCAUAAAGAAAAUAACAUGGUAGAGGCUACCUUUUAAGGAGGGUGUUCUUUGAGGUCCUCAACAUCUGUGUGAAUCAGUUGCAGCCUUUGAGAAGCCCACCAUGAUGCUUCAGGGAAUUGCUUUCUGUUUUGCUUACCAUAUUGACAAGUUUGACAACUUGGUAAAUGAUCAACUAGAGUUGGCAGCCCUCUUGUCAUAUCAUCAUUCUUCAACAGCAACAAUACUUGUAGAUGACAAUGGCCAAGUCUUUAGUGCCAAAUUUCAGUUACACUUGCUCUGGUGGAAUAAGCCAUCUGCUUCUCAGUUGGAUCGAAAGGAAAACUCCUUCCUCUCAUCUUCACCCUGAAAAUUUCAUGUCUAGCCGCGUCACUGAUUUGACAGUGCUGAUCUUCGAAGUAAAUUCUGAAUCUUUUUUCAAGUAGUUGUCUUACACUAACAAGUUUUGAUCAAUGUCAGGUACAUAAAGAACUUCUGAAAAGCUCUUUGUGCUUGUGUUUGUCUUGAUAGCUAUGGUUCAUUUUCCUUUGGCAGGAAGAUUGUCACAAUUUUCUGUCCUAACUUUGGAAAUUUCAAUGGCCUUCAACUCCUUGAAUAGGCUCCUAUCAUGAGUCAUGUGGUUAGUGUAACCACUAUCAAUUAACUAAGAAUUCGUUGAGCUCUUACUUGAGAAGUAUGUUGCAACAAAAAGUUGAUCCUCUUCUUAUUGAUCAACAACCUGAGCAUCUGCUUCCUGCCGCGGGGCCUUAUUUUUACAAAUCACGGCUUCAUGUCCGAGCUGAUUAUAUUUCUUGCACUUAACAUCAGUGUUGACCCAAGUAAAGUUUUGUUUUGAUGAUUGACAAAGGAACUCAAGCAUGAACCAGGUCCAUACAUAGUAUACACAGACACUGGCAGAUUCGAGUAUAAGGGAUGCAUGUGAAGGAGAUAAGCUCAAGUUGUUUUAUCUGAUAUCUCCUGAUCAAAAAUGUUGCAUAAGUGAUAAGGAGAAGGACUCCUUACUCGAGAGAACUCUAUCCUAAAUAAGGGAAGAGUUAGAAGUUGAAGAUAACUAGAACUCUUCUACCAUGAAAGAGUAUAGCAUUAGAACUCUAGUUAUUUAUUAUUCUAUUAACUCUAUAUAUUGCAGGAUGUUCUCAUUCUACAGGGAUGCACAAACGCUGAAGUUAAACGUGAGUUGAGAGCAAAAUAACAAGGCAUUUUGCAAGCAAUUCUUGUGUGAUUCAA